UAUUUAAAUUUUGAAAAGUUAUAGACUACUUAAUUGUAAUUUUUUAAUUCCUUUUUAGAUUUCUCUUCAAAGUGGAAUGUCUAGUCCUGAAAGUAAUCCCACCAUAACCGUAAAGUUUACAAUCAAUCAGCUGGCUAUUUCUGGAUUAAAAGUAAACCGUUUGGACAUGUAUGGCGAA
Non-coding RNA from Parasteatoda tepidariorum (common house spider), 178 nucleotides. The record is from RefSeq and is a predicted model, not a curated record. Lineage: Eukaryota; Metazoa; Arthropoda; Arachnida; Araneae; Theridiidae.